UCUAAGUUUGAUGGCGACCGGCGCACGGGUGAGUAACACGUAUCCAACCUGCCGAUGACUCGGGGAUAGCCUUUCGAAAGAAAGAUUAAUACCCGAUGGUAUAAUAAAACCGCAUGGUUUAAUUAUUAAAGAAUUUCGGUUAUCGAUGGGGAUGCGUUCCAUUAGGCAGUUGGUGAGGUAACGGCUCACCAAACCUUCGAUGGAUAGGGGUUCUGAGAGGAAGGUCCCCCACAUUGGAACUGAGACACGGUCCAA
RNAcentral lists this ribosomal RNA (255 nucleotides) under uncultured bacterium. RNAcentral describes it as "partial 16S ribosomal RNA". It matches the Rfam family "Bacterial small subunit ribosomal RNA", at positions 78 to 334 of the family's 1533-position model. The record is from RNAcentral.